Molecule: ribosomal RNA, 466 nt
Filed under: uncultured bacterium
Lineage: Bacteria
Description: partial 16S ribosomal RNA
Rfam family: Bacterial small subunit ribosomal RNA
Source: RNAcentral
GACAAACGCUGGCGGCGUGCUUAACACAUGCAAGUCGAACGGAAAGGCUCCAGCUUGCUGGAGUACUCGAGUGGCGAACGGGUGAGUUACACGUGGGUAAUCUGCCCUGCACUCUGGGAUAAGCUUGGGAAACUGGGUCUAAUACUGGAUAUGAUCUUUCUCCUUAUGGGGUUUGGUGGAAAGUUUUUCGGUGUAGGAUGAGCCCGCGGCCUAUCAGCUUGUUGGUGGGGUGAUGGCCACCGAGGCGACGACGGGUCGCCGGCCUGAGAGGGUGAUCGGCCACAUUGGGACUGCGAUACGGCCCAGCCUCCAACGGGAGGCAGCGGUGGGGAGUAUUGCACAAUGGGCGGGAGCCUGAUGCGGCGACGCCGCGUGAGGGAUGACGGCCUUCGGGUUGUAAACCUCUUUCAGCAGGGACGAAGCGUAAGUGACGGUACCUGCAGAAGAAGCACCGGCUAACUAUGUG